Cyanistes caeruleus (blue tit) is the source of this 294-nucleotide long non-coding RNA. Lineage: Eukaryota; Metazoa; Chordata; Aves; Passeriformes; Paridae. The record is from Ensembl.
GAGCCCGUUUGCUGCCUGUGCAGGUACUGAAGGGCAGGAGCUGGGAGGUGGCAGAGUCAGUUUCCUUGCCAGUCGUAAAGAUGCAAUUAUCACCCCUUGUUUGACCGAAGACUGUAAAAGGAGACUCAAUGACCACUAAUUUGUGGUUACUCCAGUGCUAGAAUGGACUCGGUGGUGGUGGCCUUUAGACUGGCAAUGCAGUAAAAGUUUAAAGCUGCAACUGCUUCGGAGCCAAAGAAAGAGAGAAGAUUGAAACCUAAAGGUUAGUGUGAAAUGCACUUUACUGUUAUCUAU